UAGAAGGCUAGAUCAGCAGGGAUUGGUUCCCUGUUUAAGCAGGUAGGGGGAGUCGCCAGGCAAAUCCGGCGGCUCGUUAUCCCCGAGAUGUGAUGACGAGGUCCUACGUGGGCCGAAGUGAUUGACGCCCCGCUUCCAGGAAAAGCCUCUAAGCUUCAGGUCACAUUGGACCGUACCGAAAACCGACACUGGUGGGCGGGCAGAUAAUCUGCCAAGGCGCUUGAGAGAACUCGGGUUAAGGAACUCUGCAAAUUGAUACCGUAACUUCGGAAGAAGGUAUGCCUCCGACGGUGUAGGGAUUUACUCCCGAAGCCGUUGAAGGUCGCAGGUAAUCGGUGGCUGCGACUGUUUAUCAAAAACACAGGACUCUGCGAACACGCAAGUGGAUGUAUAGGGUCUGACGCCUGCCCGGUGCCGGAAGGUUAAGUGAUGGGGUUAGCCGCAAGGCGAAGCUCUUGAUCGAAGCCCCGGUAAACGGCGGCCGUAACGAUAACGGUCCUAAGGUAGCGAAAUUCCUUGUCGGGUAAGUUCCGACCUGCACGAAUGGCGUAACGCUGGCCACACUGUCUUGACCCGAGACUCAGUGAAGUUGAAAUCGCUGUGAAGAUGCGGCGUUCCCGCGGCAAGACGGAAAGACCCCGUGAACCUCCACUACAGCUUUACACUGAACUUUGAACCUUCCUGUGUAGGAUAGGUGGGAGGCUUUGAAGCCUGGGCGCUAGCUCGGGUGGAGCCAACCUUGAAAUACCACCCUGGGAUGUUCGGAGUUCUAACCUUGGCCCGUAAUCCGGGUUGGGGACAGUGUAUGGUGGGUAGUUUGACUGGGGCGGUCUCCUCCCAAAGAGUAACGGAGGAGUGCAAAGGUACGCUCAGCGCGGUCGGUCAUCGCGCUCUAGAGUGCAAAGGCAUAAGCGUGCUUAACUGCGAGACGGACAUGUCGAGCAGGUACGAAAGUAGGUCUUAGUGAUCCGGUGGUUCUGUAUGGAAGGGCCAUCGCUCAACGGAUAAAAGGUACUCCGGGGAUAACAGGCUUAUUCCUCCCAAGAGUCCACAUCGACGGAGGAGUUUGGCACCUCGAUGUCGGCUCAUCACAUCCUGGGGCUGUAGCAGGUCCCAAGGGUAUGGCUGUUCGCCAUUUAAAGUGGUACGCGAGCUGGGUUCAGAACGUCGUGAGACAGUUCGGUCCCUAUCUGCCGUGGGCGUUGGAAACUUGAGGGUGAGCUGUCCUUAGUACGAGAGGACCGGGAUGGACGUAUCUCUGGUGUUCCGGUUGUCACGCCAGUGGCACUGCCGGGUAGCUAUAUACGGACGGGAUAACCGCUGAAAGCAUCUAAGCGGGAAGCCCCCCCCAAGAUUAGGUUUCCCUGGGAACUCGAUUCCCCUAAAGGGCCGUCGCAGACUACGACGUUGAUAGGCCGGGUGUGUACGUGCAGCAAUGCAUUGAGCUAACCGGUACUAAUUGCCCGUGAGGCUUGACCAU
RNAcentral lists this ribosomal RNA (1480 nucleotides) under metagenome. Its description in RNAcentral is "bacterial LSU rRNA". It matches the Rfam family "Bacterial large subunit ribosomal RNA", at positions 1475 to 2925 of the family's 2925-position model. The record is from RNAcentral.